This 824-nucleotide long non-coding RNA is filed under the name Mus musculus (house mouse). Its description in RNAcentral is "predicted gene, 49035". The record is from RNAcentral. Lineage: Eukaryota; Metazoa; Chordata; Mammalia; Rodentia; Muridae.
CUUUCUCUUGCUCUUGUUCUUUUUCUUGCUUUCUUGCUCUCUCUUGCACUCUUGCUCUCUUGCUCUCUGGCUCCUGAAGAUGUAAGCAAUAAAGCUUUGCCGCAGAAGAUUCCGGUUUGUUGCGUUCUUCCUGGCCGGUCGCGUGAACGCGGGUAAGAGUUGGUGCCGAAACGCAGGGAAGGCUGUGACAGGAUCCUGUCUGUGGAAGCUGGAGGAGGCUUGCUCACAACUUUGCAGAGCAUGAAGCCAGGAGAGACGAAGAGAGGCAGUGACGACUCUUCCUUCCCCUUCUUGAUGAGUCCCAGAUCCCAGGUCAUCAGUUGGUGCCCUCGACAUUCAAGGAAGUGUUUUGUCAUGUAACUCCUGCCAUCUUGAAAAAUGGAACAAAGUUGGAAAACUUCAACUACCAGAUUUCCAAACUGGCUGUGAGGUCUGUCUUUCCAGAGGACAUAUACACAGAGCUGAUGUCCUUAGAGGAGAGAGAGGCAGAGGCUGUGUGAAGAUGAAGUAGUGGCCGCAGCAGGGACCACAGGUAUCAUCAGGAGCUGGCAGAUGCCAGAAAGGAUCCUCCCUGGAGCUCUCAGAGGGAGCACAGGGCCCUGCCUGGUUAAUACUUCUGCCUCCAGAACCAGGAGAUGGUACCAUUCUGGUAUUUUUAAGCUGCUGAACCUUUUGAUCUGUUAGAGAAGCUAAGACCUGGAAGAGUGAGGUCAAAGAAGAGGCCCACACAGUGUGACUCUCAGUGUAGAGGACAUAGACUCCCAGAUCUGCUGUCCUCACCCAGCACCAAGGAGCAACCCAGCCUGCAGGACACAGAACACAUG